This 253-nucleotide ribosomal RNA is filed under the name uncultured bacterium. RNAcentral describes it as "partial 16S ribosomal RNA". It matches the Rfam family "Bacterial small subunit ribosomal RNA", at positions 524 to 776 of the family's 1533-position model. The record is from RNAcentral.
UACGUAGGGUGCGAGCGUUGUCCGGAAUUAUUGGGCGUAAAGAGCUUGUAGGCGGUUUGUCGCGUCUGCUGUGAAAAUCCGGGGCUCAACCCCGGACUUGCAGUGGGUACGGGCAGACUAGAGUGUGGUAGGGGAGACUGGAAUUCCUGGUGUAGCGGUGAAAUGCGCAGAUAUCAGGAGGAACACCGAUGGCGAAGGCACUCUGCUGGGCCGACACUGACACUGAGAGACGAAAGCUAGGGGAGCGAAUGGG